RNAcentral lists this long non-coding RNA (233 nucleotides) under Bos indicus x Bos taurus (hybrid cattle). RNAcentral's name for it is "lncRNA (ENSBIXG00000002385.1)". Lineage: Eukaryota; Metazoa; Chordata; Mammalia; Artiodactyla; Bovidae. The record is from RNAcentral.
AGAAUUUACACUCUGUAUCUUGGCACAUCACUGACAGGCCAUAGAAUGUUAAGAAGAGGAGUGUGCAGCAUGGUGCUGACCCAAAUGUCAUGAACGUCUGUGGGAACACCGCUCUCCACUACGCUGUUUUUUGCCAGAAUAUAUCACUUGCAGCAAAGCUGCUUUCCUGCGACACCAAUAUAGAAGCCAGGAACAAGUGGAUGAGAGUUCUGAAGAGGACUCUUCAAGGAGGU